Molecule: long non-coding RNA, 484 nt
Organism: Schistocerca nitens (vagrant locust)
Lineage: Eukaryota; Metazoa; Arthropoda; Insecta; Orthoptera; Acrididae
Exons: 3
Source: RefSeq, a predicted model, not a curated record
AUAAGCAAUGGAUACAAUGCGCUUGAGAAGUAGUCCCAAGAAACGUUGCUGGAUCUGAAGUGACAUCAGUAAUCGUCGGCAGUGUAGCAGUGGAUGGUGAGCUCUGUGUAGAAAAGGUGUUUGAAGAAGUGGAAGAAGCCCAUGAACAUGAGAAAAAUCCGGACGUGUCUUCCUCGGCUUCGUCCAGCAGUUCAUAAGCCUGUACUGCCAGCGUACGAAUGAGAAGCACGAGGCUACUGCGCACUCCACACAGCAGUCCAUAGCAGGCGGAAACAACGUGGCGUGUGGCGCGUAGCUACCAAACUUGUCGCGGAAAACCUCCAGUAUAUGGUUUCAGAGUAUGGAAAGUGUUGCAGUGCGCCACAGCGCGCCGCUGCCCGCCGCGGUCAGCGACCUCCGCCGCUGCCAGCGCCAACAGCUGAUCGCCGCACCUUGCACCGCCACUCGCCAUGUCUCACACCACCGCCGUCGAGCAAACUCCGUC